Non-coding RNA from Dictyocaulus viviparus (bovine lungworm), 73 nucleotides. The record is from the annotation of a GenBank genome assembly. Lineage: Eukaryota; Metazoa; Nematoda; Chromadorea; Rhabditida; Metastrongylidae.
CGCAACACCGGGAUUCGAGCCCGGGACCUUUCGCGCCCAAAGCGAGAAUCAUACCCCUAGACCAUCCGGCCGA